RNAcentral lists this ribosomal RNA (747 nucleotides) under Pseudomonas koreensis. Its description in RNAcentral is "bacterial SSU rRNA". It matches the Rfam family "Bacterial small subunit ribosomal RNA", at positions 9 to 759 of the family's 1533-position model. The record is from RNAcentral. Lineage: Bacteria; Pseudomonadati; Pseudomonadota; Gammaproteobacteria; Pseudomonadales; Pseudomonadaceae.
GAGUUUGAUCCUGGUUCAGAUGAACGCUGGCGGCAGGCCUACACAUGCAAGUCGAGCGGAUGAAAGGAGCUUGCUCCUGGAUUCAGCGGCGGACGGGUGAGUAAUGCCUAGGAAUCUGCGGUAGUGGGGGACAACGUUCGAAAGGAACGCUAAUACCGCAUACGUCCUACGGGAGAAAGCAGGGGACCUUCGGGCCUGCGCUAUCAGAUGAGCCUAGGUCGGAUUAGCUAGUUGGUGAGGUAAUGGCUCACCAAGGCGACGAUCCGUAACUGGUCUGAGAGGAUGAUCAGUCACACUGGAACUGAGACACGGUCCAGACUCCUACGGGAGGCAGCAGUGGGGAAUAUUGGACAAUGGGCGAAAGCCUGAUCCAGCCAUGCCGCGUGUGUGAAGAAGGUCUUCGGAUUGUAAAGCACUUUAAGUUGGGAGGAAGGGUUGUAGAUUAAUACUCUGCAAUUUUGACGUUACCGACAGAAUAAGCACCGGCUAACUCUGUGCCAGCAGCCGCGGUAAUACAGAGGGUGCAAGCGUUAAUCGGAAUUACUGGGCGUAAAGCGCGCGUAGGUGGUUUGUUAAGUUGGAUGUGAAAUCCCCGGGCUCAACCUGGGAACUGCAUCCAAAACUGGCAAGCUAGAGUAUGGUAGAGGGUGGUGGAAUUUCCUGUGUAGCGGUGAAAUGCGUAGAUAUAGGAAGGAACACCAGUGGCGAAGGCGACCACCUGGACUGAUAGACACUGAGGUGCGAAAG